Molecule: ribosomal RNA, 301 nt
Filed under: uncultured bacterium
Lineage: Bacteria
Description: partial 16S ribosomal RNA
Rfam family: Bacterial small subunit ribosomal RNA
Source: RNAcentral
CAGUAGCCGCGGGAAUACAGAGGAUGCAAGCGUUAUCCGGAAUGAUUGGGCGUAAAGCGUCUGUAGGUGGCUUUUCAAGUCCGCCGUCAAAUCCCAGGGCUCAACCCUGGACAGGCGGUGGAAACUACCAAGCUGGAGUACGGUAGGGGCAGAGGGAAUUUCCAGUGGAGCGGUGAAAUGCGUUGAGAUCGAAAAGAACACCAACAGCGAAAGCACUCUGCUGGGACGACACUGACACUAAGAGACGAAAGCUAGGGGAGCAAAUGGGAUUAGAUACCCCUGUAGUCCCUGUCUCUUAUAC